AUGCCAGACUCCUACGGGAGGCAGCAGUGAGGAAUAUUGGUCAAUGGGCGGAAGCCUGAGCCAGCCAAGUCGCGUGAGGGACUAAGGCCCUGCGGGUCGUAAACCUCUUUUGCCGGGGAGCAGUGGUCCGGACGCGUCCGGACCGGGAGAGUACCCGGAGAAAAAGCAUCGGCUAACUCCGUGCCAGCAGCCGCGGUAAUACGGAGGAUGCGAGCGUUAUCCGGAUUUAUUGGGUGUAAAGGGUGCGUAGACGGAGAAGCAAGUUAGUUGUGAAAUCCCUCGGCUUAACUGAGGAACUGCAACUAAAACUACUUCCCUUGAGUGCUGGAGAGGAAAGUGGAAUUCCUAGUGUAGCGGUGAAAUGCGUAGAUAUUAGGAGGAACACCAGUGGCGAAGGCGACUUUCUGGACAGUAACUGACGUUGAGGCACGAAAGUGUGGGGAGCAAACAGGAUUAGAUACCCCGGUACAG
Molecule: ribosomal RNA, 471 nt
Filed under: uncultured bacterium
Lineage: Bacteria
Description: bacterial SSU rRNA
Rfam family: Bacterial small subunit ribosomal RNA
Source: RNAcentral